RNAcentral lists this ribosomal RNA (253 nucleotides) under uncultured bacterium. RNAcentral's name for it is "partial 16S ribosomal RNA". It matches the Rfam family "Bacterial small subunit ribosomal RNA", at positions 524 to 776 of the family's 1533-position model. The record is from RNAcentral.
UACGUAGGAGGCGAGCGUUGUCCGGAAUUAUUGGGCGUAAAGAGCGUGUAGGCGGUCCGGUAAGUCAGCUGUGAAAGUCAAGGGCUCAACCCUUGAAUGCCGGUUGAUACUGUCGGGCUAGAGUCCGGAAGAGGCGAGUGGAAUUCCCGGUGUAGCGGUGAAAUGCGCAGAUAUCGGGAGGAACACCAAUGGCGAAGGCAGCUCGCUGGGACGGUACUGACGCUGAGACGCGAAAGCGUGGGGAGCAAACAGG